RNAcentral lists this non-coding RNA (204 nucleotides) under Neomoorella glycerini. RNAcentral's name for it is "Moorella glycerini Lysine sequence". It matches the Rfam family "Lysine riboswitch aptamer". From Rfam's summary of the family: Riboswitches are metabolite binding domains within certain messenger RNAs that serve as precision sensors for their corresponding targets. Allosteric rearrangement of mRNA structure is mediated by ligand binding, and this results in modulation of gene expression. The record is from RNAcentral. Lineage: Bacteria; Bacillati; Bacillota; Clostridia; Neomoorellales; Neomoorellaceae.
CAGUGGGGUAGAGGUGCAGCGGGCAAGAGUACUGCCGGUGAGGCGGGCACCGGUGAGCCGGCAGGAAAGGGUACGCUGCCGAAGGGAGAUGGUUAGCCCGGACCUUCUCCCUGGGCCGGCCGCUGAACAAGGGCCGGACUGUCACCGUAGAGGCUAGUGCCACGAAGGAUCGUUGCCUAUUUACGGUGGAGCGCUACUCGCACG